RNAcentral lists this unclassified non-coding RNA (574 nucleotides) under Aspergillus flavus. RNAcentral's name for it is "sequence contains ITS1, 5.8S rRNA gene and ITS2". The stretch from base 188 to 341 matches the Rfam family "5.8S ribosomal RNA". The record is from RNAcentral. Lineage: Eukaryota; Fungi; Ascomycota; Eurotiomycetes; Eurotiales; Aspergillaceae.
AAGGAUAAGUAGUGUAGGAUCNUAGCGAGCCAACCUCCCACCCGUGUUUACUGUACCUUAGUUGCUUCGGCGGGCCCGCCAUUCAUGGCCGCCGGGGGCUCUCAGCCCCGGGCCCGCGCCCGCCGGAGACACCACGAACUCUGUCUGAUCUAGUGAAGUCUGAGUUGAUUGUAUCGCAAUCAGUUAAAACUUUCAACAAUGGAUCUCUUGGUUCCGGCAUCGAUGAAGAACGCAGCGAAAUGCGAUAACUAGUGUGAAUUGCAGAAUUCCGUGAAUCAUCGAGUCUUUGAACGCACAUUGCGCCCCCUGGUAUUCCGGGGGGCAUGCCUGUCCGAGCGUCAUUGCUGCCCAUCAAGCACGGCUUGUGUGUUGGGUCGUCGUCCCCUCUCCGGGGGGGACGGGCCCCAAAGGCAGCGGCGGCACCGCGUCCGAUCCUCGAGCGUAUGGGGCUUUGUCACCCGCUCUGUAGGCCCGGCCGGCGCUUGCCGAACGCAAAUCAAUCUUUUUCCAGGUUGACCUCGGAUCAGGUAGGGAUACCCGCUGAACUUAAGCAUUCUAAANNNGGGAAGAAAAA